This 253-nucleotide ribosomal RNA is filed under the name uncultured bacterium. Its description in RNAcentral is "partial 16S ribosomal RNA". It matches the Rfam family "Bacterial small subunit ribosomal RNA", at positions 524 to 776 of the family's 1533-position model. The record is from RNAcentral.
UACGUAGGCAGCGAGCGUUGUUCGGAGUUACUGGGCGUAAAGAGUGCGUAGGCGGUUUUCUAAGUUUGGGGUGAAAUCUCCCGGCUUAACUGGGAGGGUGCGCCGAAAACUGGAAGGCUUGAGUAUGGGAGAGGUAAGCGGAAUUCCUGGUGUAGCGGUGAAAUGCGUAGAUAUCAGGAGGAACACCUGCGGUGUAGACGGCUUACUGGACCAUAACUGACGCUGAGGCACGAAAGCGUGGGUAGCAAACAGG